AGGGCGCACGGUGGAUGCCUUGGCACUAGGAGCCGACGAAGGACGUGACAAACGACGAUAUACCUUGGGUAGCUGUAAGUAAGCGAUGAUCCAGGGAUUUCCGAAUGGGGGAACCCAACAGGUAAUACCUGUUACCCACAUCUGUUAAGGAUGUGAGGAGGAAGACGCAGUGAACUGAAACAUCUAAGUAGCUGCAGGAAGAGAAAGCAAAAGCGAUUGCCUUAGUAGCGGCGAGCGAAACGGCAGAAGGGCAAACCGAAGAGUUUACUCUUCGGGGUUGUAGGACUGCAAUGUGGACUCAAAGAUUAUAGAAGAAUGAUUUGGGAAGAUCAGCCAAAGAGAGUAAUAGCCUCGUAUUUAAAAUAGUCUUUGUACCUAGCAGUAUCCUGAGUACGGCGGGACACGUGAAAUCCCGUCGGAAUCUGGGAGGACCAUCUCCCAACCCUAAAUACUCCCUAGUGACCGAUAGUGAACCAGUACCGUGAGGGAAAGGUGAAAAGCACCCCGGGAGGGGAGUGAAAUAGAACCUGAAACCGUGUGCCUACAACAAGUUCGAGCCCGUUAAUGGGUGAGAGCGUGCCUUUUGUAGAAUGAACCGGCGAGUUACGUUAUGAUGCGAGGUUAAGUUGAAGAGACGGAGCCGUAGGGAAACCGAGUCUGAACAGGGCGAAUUAGUAUCAUGACGUAGACCCGAAACCAUGUGACCUACCCAUGAGCAGGUUGAAGGUGCGGUAAGACGCACUGGAGGACCGAACCAGGGCACGUUGAAAAGUGCUUGGAUGACUUGUGGGUAGCGGAGAAAUUCCAAACGAACUUGGAGAUAGCUGGUUCUCUCCGAAAUAGCUUUAGGGCUAGCGUCGACAUUAGAGAUUCUUGGAGGUAGAGCACUGUUUGGGUGAGGGGUCCAUCCCGGAUUACCAAUCUCAGAUAAACUCCGAAUGCCAAUGAAUUAUGGUCGGCAGUCAGACUGCGAGUGCUAAGAUCCGUAGUCGAAAGGGAAACAGCCCAGACCACCAGCUAAGGUCCCAAAAUAAUUGUUAAGUGGAAAAGGAUGUGGGGUUGCACAGACAACUAGGAUGUUAGCUUAGAAGCAGCUAUUCAUUCAAAGAGUGCGUAAUAGCUCACUAGUCGAGUGACCCUGCGCCGAAAAUGUACCGGGGCUAAAACAAUUUACCGAAGCUGUGGAUACCUUUAUAGGUAUGGUAGGAGAGCGUUCUAUGUGUGAUGAAGGUAUACCGUGAGGAGUGCUGGAACGCAUAGAAGUGAGAAUGCCGGUAUGAGUAGCGAAAGACAGGUGAGAAUCCUGUCCACCGUAAGACUAAGGUUUCCAGGGGAAGGCUCGUCCGCCCUGGGUUAGUCGGGACCUAAGGAGAGACCGAAAGGUGUAUCCGAUGGACAACAGGUUGAUAUUCCUGUACUAGAGUAUGUAGUGAUGGAGGGACGCAGUAGGCUAACUAAAGCAGUACGAUUGGAAGAGUCUGUCUAAGCAGUGAGGUGUGAAUUGAGUCAAAUGCUUAAUUCUAUAACAUUGAGCUGUGAUGGGGAGCGAAGUUUAGUAGCGAAGUUAGUGACGUCACACUGCCAAGAAAAGCUUCUAGCGUUUAAACAUACUCUACCCGUACCGCAAACCGACACAGGUAGUCGAGGCGAGUAGCCUCAGGUGAGCGAGAGAACUCUCGUUAAGGAACUCGGCAAAAUGACCCCGUAACUUCGGGAGAAGGGGUGCUGACUUUAGGUCAGCCGCAGUGAAUAGGCCCAAGCAACUGUUUAUCAAAAACACAGCUCUCUGCUAAAUCGUAAGAUGAUGUAUAGGGGGUGACGCCUGCCCGGUGCUGGAAGGUUAAGAGGAGUGCUUAGCGUAAGCGAAGGUAUGAAUUGAAGCCCCAGUAAACGGCGGCCGUAACUAUAACGGUCCUAAGGUAGCGAAAUUCCUUGUCGGGUAAGUUCCGACCCGCACGAAAGGCGUAAUGAUUUGGGCACUGUCUCAACGAGAGACUCGGUGAAAUUUUAGUACCUGUGAAGAUGCAGGUUACCCGCGACAGGACGGAAAGACCCCAUGGAGCUUUACUG
RNAcentral lists this ribosomal RNA (2070 nucleotides) under Streptococcus pneumoniae 8190-05. RNAcentral describes it as "bacterial LSU rRNA". It matches the Rfam family "Bacterial large subunit ribosomal RNA", at positions 14 to 2106 of the family's 2925-position model. Lineage: Bacteria; Bacillati; Bacillota; Bacilli; Lactobacillales; Streptococcaceae. The record is from RNAcentral.